GCGGAAAUAGCUCAGUUGGCAGAGCGUUGGCUUCCCAAGCCGAAGGUCGCGGGUUCGAAACCCGUUUUCCGCUCCA
This 76-nucleotide transfer RNA is filed under the name Candidatus Cryptobacteroides caccocaballi. Its description in RNAcentral is "tRNA-Gly". It matches the Rfam family "tRNA". From Rfam's summary of the family: Transfer RNA (tRNA) molecules are approximately 80 nucleotides in length. The record is from RNAcentral. Lineage: Bacteria; Pseudomonadati; Bacteroidota; Bacteroidia; Bacteroidales.